Molecule: ribosomal RNA, 764 nt
Filed under: Micrococcus sp. 57
Lineage: Bacteria; Bacillati; Actinomycetota; Actinomycetes; Micrococcales; Micrococcaceae
Also listed under: 1 other name
Description: bacterial SSU rRNA
Rfam family: Bacterial small subunit ribosomal RNA
Source: RNAcentral
AACGGGUGAGUAACACGUGAGUAACCUGCCCUUAACUCUGGGAUAAGCCUGGGAAACUGGGUCUAAUACCGGAUAGGAGCGCCUACCGCAUGGUGGGUGUUGGAAAGAUUUAUCGGUUUUGGAUGGACUCGCGGCCUAUCAGCUUGUUGGUGAGGUAAUGGCUCACCAAGGCGACGACGGGUAGCCGGCCUGAGAGGGUGACCGGCCACACUGGGACUGAGACACGGCCCAGACUCCUACGGGAGGCAGCAGUGGGGAAUAUUGCACAAUGGGCGAAAGCCUGAUGCAGCGACGCCGCGUGAGGGAUGACGGCCUUCGGGUUGUAAACCUCUUUCAGUAGGGAAGAAGCGAAAGUGACGGUACCUGCAGAAGAAGCACCGGCUAACUACGUGCCAGCAGCCGCGGUAAUACGUAGGGUGCGAGCGUUAUCCGGAAUUAUUGGGCGUAAAGAGCUCGUAGGCGGUUUGUCGCGUCUGUCGUGAAAGUCCGGGGCUUAACCCCGGAUCUGCGGUGGGUACGGGCAGACUAGAGUGCAGUAGGGGAGACUGGAAUUCCUGGUGUAGCGGUGGAAUGCGCAGAUAUCAGGAGGAACACCGAUGGCGAAGGCAGGUCUCUGGGCUGUAACUGACGCUGAGGAGCGAAAGCAUGGGGAGCGAACAGGAUUAGAUACCCUGGUAGUCCAUGCCGUAAACGUUGGGCACUAGGUGUGGGGACCAUUCCACGGUUUCCGCGCCGCAGCUAACGCAUUAAGUGCCCCGCCUGGG